UACGGAGGAUGCAAGCGUUAUCCGGAUUCAUUGGGUUUAAAGGGUGCGUAGGCGGACUAUUAAGUCAGUGGUGAAAGCCUGCAGCUUAACUGCAGAACUGCCAUUGAUACUGAUAGUCUUGAGUUUGGUUAAGGUAGGCGGAAUGUGUAAUGUAGCGGUGAAAUGCUUAGAUAUUACACAGAACACCAAUUGCGUAGGCAGCUUACUGAGCCGACACUGACGCUGAGGCACGAAAGCGUGGGGAGUCAAACA
Molecule: ribosomal RNA, 252 nt
Filed under: uncultured prokaryote
Description: partial 16S ribosomal RNA
Rfam family: Bacterial small subunit ribosomal RNA
Source: RNAcentral